CGCUCGAUCCACUGGUUCUGUCCUCAGUCUACUCUCGAGUGCCUCUUUGGAAACUCUAUCUUCAUGUGCUCUCAUUCCAGUCAUGCUUACUUCGACGUUUCCUGCUAUUGCAUGUGAAGAAAUCCUCUCUUCCCCUACUCCGGGUUCUACAACCUGAAAUUCUCUUUGUACCCUUCCAAUACCUCCUCCCAUAUUUUCGAUCUUAAUGUUUUGAUCUUGUGGACAAGUUGAAAUUCCAGAAUCAUUAACAUUGAUUGAAAUUUCUGUGCUUUUAAGUCUUUUGUUGCCACCACACAUAGCUAGAAAGGCUGCUUCUUGAACUUCUUUAGGCACCCCAUGACAAAUGGCAACAUUAUGCCCUUCCUCUCCUGAUAAAUGCCAUUUGAUCCUUGAAAUGGAGGUUUUAUUGGCAAAUGUAUGUGGACAAAACUUACACUUCAUGCUACCAUCUGCCCUAUCUUCAAUAUAAUUCCAAAAUGGAUCCUUUGAUCCAACCAUUUCAACCUAUAGAAAAAAAAAGAGGGUCAAAUAAAGAAUAAAAAUUGAUGGAGGUUACACCAUAUCUGGAUGGAUGAGAAACUACUUCAGCGCUGUUACCCUUAUUUUGCUAUUAAAAUUGAUAGUUAGUUUAUUGCACAAUCAUAGUAAUUUAGUUAGACUUCUUACUUGUAAACCCCUAAGUUGACUUUGGAGGGGAGUGUCAAGGCCAGGAUUUGAGGCAUUUGGCCUAGCAGUUUGAAUUUGCAAUCCUGUGACUUGAAGGUCAUCCUCGGAGUUGGAGCUUACUUUGUCGUUUCUUGCUAUUGCUUGUGAAGAAAUCCUCUCUUCCUCUACUCCAGGUUCUACAACCUGAACUUCUCUAUGUACCCUUCCAAUACCUCCUCCCAUAUUUUCAAUCUUAAUGUUUUGUUCUUGUGGACAAGUUGAAAUUCCAGAAUCAUUAACAUUGAUUGAACUUUCUGUGCUUUUAAGUCUUUUGUUGCCACCACACAUAGCUAGAAAGGCUUCUUCUUGACUUCNNNNNNNNNNNNNNNNNNNNNNNNNNNNNNNNNNNNNNNNNNNNNNNNNNNNNNNNNNNNNNNNNNNNNNNNNNNNNNNNNNNNNNNNNNNNNNNNNNNNCGUGUGACCUCGUCAAAUGCAUCUCCCCGGCUCUCAUUCCUUUAAUUAUUCCCUCAUCGACAAAUAACCUAUCAACUCCUCCCUUUCAAUCUCACUAUCUUCAGGAAAUAAUGCACAGUACAAGAGACAUUGUUGUAGUGCUAAAUCACCUAAUUGAUCGUAACUAAACCUCAAUAACUUGAAUACUUCCGUGUCCCUAAAUUCUGAUUCUCUCAAUUUCUUCAACGUAUUUCUCCACUCAUGUAGGUCAUCCACUCCCCUCAAGCUUCCUGCCACUGUAAUAAUUCCCAAUGCCAAACCAGCACAUUCCAUAACAAUAGCUUUUGCAAUUCCUUCCACUUCUGGUGAAAGUGCUAUGUCACGUCCAAGUUUCUCCAUAAACAAAGUCCAAGCUUCUCCAUUAGAAAGUGGCUUCACUUUGAUUUUGUGGUGGCAAGCCAUCCGAUGACAAACCGUUUCUGAUCGAGUUGUCAUAAUCAGCUUGCAUCCUUUCAACGGGCCAGGAAUUCCCACUUUUUGGAGCUCAAAAUUGUUCCACAAAUCAUCUAAAAUGAGAAUCCAUUUUUGUUUUUUCAUUAGUUCUUUUGAUAGUUUGGCAGCUCCAUGCAGAUCAUCAACCUCCCUGGAAAGGUCAAGAUCAAGAUGUUUAGCAAUAAGAUUCUGCAAUCUAUUAAUGCUGAAAUCUUGAGACACAGUCACCCACCAAACAUAAUUGCAAAUAUCUGGUCUUUGUAGAAGCUCAUUAUGAAUAUGUUGCAGUAUUGUUGUUUUACCAACUCCCCCCAUCCCAUAAAUGCCAAUGGUUAGGACUUCAUCAUUCAUUAACAAAGACCAUAUAACUUUCGUAUUCUCUUUAAAUGCUUGACCCACUGGCUUUGCAGAGCUAGUAGGUAAUGGAACUCCUGCAGAAUUGUUGUAUUUCAGACUUUUAGAAUAUCUAGCUCCUGCGCCAGCCUGCACUACUGAUCUUCCACUACUCUCCUCAUCCUCCUCCUCCUCCACUGGUUCUGUCCUCACUCUAUCCUGCUCAUCAUGCAUAGUUACCUCAUAGUUUACUGAUGAAGCACAAGGUUGAUCAUAACCUCUUCCAAUGUCAAGACAAAAUUGGGAUGAAUCUCCUCGCGGCUCUAGAAGCUGCACUUGCUCUGUUCUUGGUAUAGCCUCAAAUGCAUCAUGCUGAAAAGAUCCUUCACCAGUGUUUUCUAUGCCAUUUUCUAAUUGUAAAUGCGACUGAAUUCUCUCUUCUCCGGGACCUUGUUUCAUGCCCUGAACUCCCACUUGUAUCCUUCCAGCACCCCCUGCCAAAUUGCCAAGUACUGCAUUGCUUUGUUCCAACGCUCGAUCCACUGGUUCUGUCCUCAGUCUACUCUCGAGUGCCUCUUUGGAAACUCUAUCUUCAUGUGCUCUCAUUCCAGUCAUGCUUACUUCGACGUUUCCUGCUAUUGCAUGUGAAGAAAUCCUCUCUUCCCCUACUCCGGGUUCUACAACCUGAAAUUCUCUUUGUACCCUUCCAAUACCUCCUCCCAUAUUUUCGAUCUUAAUGUUUUGAUCUUGUGGACAAGUUGAAAUUCCAGAAUCAUUAACAUUGAUUGAACUUUCUGUGCUUUUAAGUCUUUUGUUGCCACCACACAUAGCUAGAAAGGCUGCUUCUUGAACUUCUUUAGACACCCCACGACAAAUGGCAACAUUAUGCCCUUCCUCUCCUGAUAAAUGCCAUUUGAUCCUUGAAAUGGAGGUUUUAUUGGCAAACGUAUGUGGACAAAACUUACACUUCAUUCUACCAUCAUCAGCCCUUUCUUCAACAUAGUUCCAAAAUGAAUCAUAUCCGACUUGUUGAGUAUUUAAACCCCUAAUUUGACUUUGCAGGGCAGUGUCAAGGCCAGGAUUUGAGGCAUUUGGCCUAGUAGUUUGAUUUUGCAAUCCUCUGAGUUUGAGGUUAUCCAUAUGUGACCUGUAUAAAAAUGAAGUGAUCAUAUUAUAAAACCAAAAAUCAAUGGUGUAUCUAAUUAUCAAAAAGGUAUUAAUAUUGUGUUAAAACACAACAGCUAGAAGUCAAUCAGAACCUAGUAGAGUUUCCAAAGUGCCGAGGCACGACUGUUGUUGUAUAUUGUCUAUGUUAGGAAUUACAGCAGCUUGAUUACAAAAAUAUUGACUCCUGAAUCCAAAAUCAUUCGCAAACAAUAUGAAGCAUUACAAACUUAUGCUUAGUUUGCUGGGUUCAUGUUCAAGCUAUGAUGUUUCUUUCCUGAUUGAAAAAAUCAACUUUUUAACAGAUGGUGGGAAAUCCUUCCAUCUCACCACAAGUACAUGAUGAAUAAUACAGGAGGUGAAAAAAGAAGAGAAAGCACAUAUCAGAGAAGAGUAUAUACAUAUGACAAAUCUGAGAAAAAGAUCAAUUUAUUUAUCAUGGAUUACUUUAAAGAUUCAAACCAUAGUUACAAAUAUAAAAACAAAAACACCAACAAGAUGAAGAAGAUGAAGUACAAAUAAUUUACCUGGAUUCAAGAUGUUCUUCAAGCGCUGGUUUGCUUGAGCAGUAAUCAGCCAAAAAAAGAGAAGAGAAAUCACAGAUCAGAGAAGAAUAUAAGAUUUAGAAAAAUAAUAAAGUUGCAGUAUACAUAAAUCUAGUUCGCACUGGUGAGAUGUGGAAAAGAAAAUAGGUAGAAGAUGAUUAGUACGUCCUGAGGAUUAAAAGAGGAGAAAUCACAGAUCAGAGAAGAUUAUAUGAUUUAGAAAAAUAAUAAAGUUGCAGUGCUGAGGGGGAAAGGAAAACAGAGAAUGGUAAUAAUAAUAAUAAAUAAAUAAUUAUCGUAUUGUUUGAUAGGAAGGAAGGAAGUUGCUAGGAAGGAACCCAGCGCUUACCGACCAAGCAUUAUAUUAUAAGAUAUAGAAAGUUAACGUGUGGACCCCCCUAAUGUUGAAACUUUGAAGAAGCUGCCUGAAAAAUUUAAGUUGCUUGGAGAUUUGAUUAAUCAAACUAAUUUAUUUUUAUUUUUAAUGUUAUUAUAUAAAAAAUAUUAAAAAUAUAUUUUUUCAAGACUAAUAAAUUUUUAAAAUAUAUAAAAUUUUAAAUACAAAAACAAAUUAUAUCUUGAUUGUAUUGUAACAAUCUUCAUCUUUAAAGAUAAAUUACUAGGAAGAUAUGUAGUGUCGAUUUCACAUUGAAAUAAAUGAAAAGAAUAAAAGGAAAUAUUAAAUGAUUUAAUAUUAAAGAACAAAAAUUAAUUUUCAAUGCAUAUUAAUGAAAAAGGUUUAAAUUAUUCAAAGAGCAGAUAGUCGGAAUCCCUGGCACACAUUUAAUAUUUUUAUUAUUUUUAUUUUGUUGAACAACUCAAUUUGAAGUUAAAUUCCCAAAAUUUCCACUUAAAAGUUUAAAAGGUAUGGAUAAUUAAAUCAACAUAAAUGUACCCCUUUUUGAAAAAUCAUUCACCACUUUCUUUUAAAUACGCAAAUGAUUAUCCCUAUUAAUAAAAUUCAAUGAAAACAACAAUAUACAAGUAACAAUAUUACAGCAAAAAAAAAAACUUGAAGGAUGUAGUUCAACUGGUCAAUUCCUGGAUUUAUUUCUUAAAAAUUAUCAGUUUAAAUUUCAAAAAUAUCAGGAUUACCAGAUGUUUACAUGAUCAUUAACUUUAAAUAUCGUAAAAUUAAUGAUUAUCCCUAUUAAUAAAAUUUAAUGACAACAACAAUACACACGAGUAGCAAUAUUACAGCAAAAAAAAUUAAAUCAAUACAGAUAAAUAAAUGAUUCAAGUGUAUUAAAAUAAUUAAUCCAUUCAAUAGCUAGAGAAAGCGUGACUUAAUGCAUAAAAUGCAUAAAUCCUAUGAUUAUUUGGAGAAGAGUUAGAAUAAAUGGGAUAUCUUUUGCCCAAAAAAACAAGCUAUUUUAAGCAUUUUCGAUUCUAUAUUAAAUGUAUAAAGAAAAUUCAAAUUUCCUACCUUUAUAAGAGGUUUUUUUGCAGGGAAGACGACCCAAUGCCAUCCAAACAGAAAGACAAAGACAAAGGCUUGAAAAGUAGAACAAAAGUCCAGAUCAUGGGCUCAAAUGGUUUCAGAUGAAGAUAAAAUUUUCCAAAUUAAAGGUUCUCCCUUUGGAAACCUUGAUCAUGUCGGAUACCAGCAAUGAGGAGAGACUAGUGAUGAUGGAUCAUGUUACGUAACUUUAAUCACGUCGGAUACCACCAACAAUAUUCCACCAGGUAAUUAAUUUCAUUCAGAUAGUUCAUGGGAAAGGUACAAACUGACUUGGUGAAACAAUCAACUAUCACCCAAAUUGAAUUAUAACUCUUCCGAGACAAAUUUGACAUAAAAUCUAUAAUGAGUUUAUAUCAUUUCCAUUCAAAAAUCAAUAAUGAUUGUAAAAGUCAGGAAUCCUCGAUGGUUGUAAAAGCCCUAAUAACUUCUGAUGCUCGCUUUUAAUUCUUUGAUAGGUUAAGUAUUGAGAUACAAACUCAAUAAUGUUUUUUAUGCCAUUUCAUUAGUAAAUUGUUUCAAGUCUAUACAUAUUGUUAAAACUAGGAUGUGCAUUAUAGAUGGUUUGAUAUGCUUCCGUCAUUAUAUCUCUUUUCAAAUCAUUCACCUCAAGCACACAAAAACCUAAUCUCAACAAACCAUCCUUACCAACAACAAAACUUGAAGCUUUUCCUAACUCUAACUCAUCUUGAAUCUUAUAUAGCUGCUCAUCUCUCAUCAAUUGCUUGCUUUAAUCUGGUCUACCAAGUUCGACUUAGUUUGAAAGUGAGCCAACAAUGCUCCCAAUUCUCCAAUCUCAAAACUAACCUUCUCAUCCAACAACUUGUGUAACUCCCUAAUCAAUAGCCUCCUCAUCUCUUGAAUACAAGCCAAACCACCAUAGACUUUAUGCUCAAGGUAUCGGCAACAACAUUCACCUUUCUCGGGUGAUAUUGAAUCAUGCAUUCAUAAUCACUUAAAAAUUCUAUCCACCUUCUUUGUCUUAUAUUUAGAUCUUUUUACAAGCGGUAGAGUAGAGGCAAGCUUACAGACAAGAAGAAACAAGUGAAGGAGCUCUUGUUGCAGUUUCUAAGGAGAGUCGGGCUAAGAAUUUUUACAAGAACAAUCAAGAAGGAAAAAGAGAAAGAGGGAGAAGCUGGCAAUCAAAUAACUGGCAUCAAAACAAUAAAAAUAUAAUCACUCGAGGGAAAGAAAAGAGAGAACAUUCCCUCCCUGUAAAUUCUGUCGGAAAACAAAUCAUCUAGAAGCUUGGUGCUGGCUUAAGAAUGCACAAUGCAGAAGUUGCAAACAAUUUGGUCACAUCCAAAGGUUCUGCAAAAACAAAUCACUAGCAGCGAAACAAGCAUAUAUUGCAGAAAAUUUAGAAGCCAAGGAAAAUCAUUUAUUCAUGGCUACGUUUGAACAGAUGUGCAACACAGCAGAGGUAAACAAUUCAGCAUGGCUUAUUGAUAGUGGUUGCACUAAUCAUAUGACUGCAGAUUUGAGUUUAUUCAAGGAUUUGGAUAAAAGCUACAUGUCCAAAGUUAGAAUUGGCAAUGGAGAGUAUGUGAAGGUUGAAGGCAAAGGGGCGAUUGAAGUUGAAACAAUGUCAGGUACAAAAACUCUAAAAAAUGUGCUUUAUGUACCUAAGAUUAAUCAGAAUCUAGUGAGUGUGGGACAAUUACUGGAAUCUGGUUACUCAAUAUUCUUUAAUAAUGGAGUGUGUGAUAUUAAAGAUAAAAAUGGAGUGCUACUGUUUUCUGCAAAAAUGAUGAACAGAAGUUUUAAUGUUGAUUGGAGAGAAGUAUGUUUGAGUGUUAACACUUAUGAGAACAAUGAAACUGUUCUUUGGCAUAAACGGUUGGGGCACUUCAAUUAUGCAACUUUAAAGAGAAUGGCUGACCUGCAGAUGACUCACGGUUUACCAGAUAUACAGGAACAAAAGAGUAUAUGUGAAGCCUGUCAGUUAGGAAAACAAACUAGAGUUGUUUUUCCUGACAAUGCAUAUAAAGCAUUGUCAAAACUCCAGCUGGUACACACAGAUGUGUGUGGUCCGAUGCACAAUGAAUCUUUGAAUGGUUCAAAGUACUUUCUAUUAUUUGUUGAUGACUAUAGUAGAUUCUGCUGGGUUUAUUUUCUUAAAUCUAAAGUUGAUGUGUUUGCUGAGUUUGUAAGAUUUAAGACAACAGUUGAACUAGAAACAGGAAAUAAACUGAAGAUGUUGAGAUCUGAUAAUAGGGGUGAGUUCACCUCUCAAAAAUUUGAGGGAUAUUUGGCAAAAGAAAUGAUCAAACAUCAGCUAACAGUGCCUUACACUCCACAACAGAAUGGAGUCAGUGAGAGGAGAAACCAAACAUUGAUGGAAAUGGCAAGAUGUUUGCUAUAUGAGAAGAAAAUGCCAUUAAAAUUCUGGGCAGAGGCAGUAAAAACAACAUCCUACCUUCUAAAUCGUAUGACCACAAGAGUGUUGGGAGCUAAGACUCCUUAUGAAAUCUGGUAUGGCUUUAAACCCAAUGUUGAUCAUUUAAAAGUUUUUGGCAGCCCUUGCUAUGUCUUGCAACCUGAAGUUAAGAGAAGAAAACUUGAUCAAAAGGCUGAUAUGGGGAUUCUUAUAGGCUAUAGCACAAAAUCUAAGGCUUAUAAAAUCUAUGAUCUGAAAUCUAAUAAAGUUGUGAUUGCUAGAGAUGUAAAAGUUGCGAAGAAUGGUACAUGGAACUGGGAAGCUGCAUCAGAUGAAGAGACAAAACAGGAGUAUCAAAUUGAACUGGAUGCUACAGAGGAUGAUGAUACUGUCGAUGACAAACCAGUAAAGGGGACAAGGUCCUUAGCUGACAUUUACAGCAGGUGCAAUGUUGCUGAAGCAGAACUAAUAGAUUUUGAAAAAGCUAUCAAUUCACAAGUAUGGAUAGCUGCAAUGAAGGAGGAGCUCACGAUGAUAUAAAAGAAUGAAACAUGGAUGUUGGUUGACAGACCCGUUCACAAAAAGGUAAUUGAUAUGAAAUGGAUUUUCAAAACCAAACUAAAUGCAGAUGGGAGUAUCAACAAGCACAAAGCAAGACUUGUAGUGAAGGGUUAUUCACAAGAGCCAGGUAUUGACUUCAUUGAGAAAUUUGCUCCAGUAUCUAGGCUUGAUACAAUAAAGCUCUUACUUGCUCUAGUAGCACAAAAUGGUUGGCAUAUUUUUCAGUUGGAUGUUAAGUUUGCAUUUCUGAAUUGUGUUCUAAAUGAAGAAAUAUAUGUUGAACAACCUGAUGGCUUUGAAAAGGAGAUCACAUCAAACAAAGUAUAUUUGCUAAAGAAGGCUUUGUAUGGACUUAAACAAGCUCCUAGAGCCUGGUACAGCAGAUUGGAUGGGUAUCUUUUGAGUUUAGGCUUUGAAAGAAGCAUGAAUGAAGUAACUUUGUAUGUGAAAAAUGUUGACAAACAUACUCUGAUCGUAUCAGUAUAUGUAGAUGAUUUAUUGAUUGCAGGAGAUAAGGAGCAACUGGUAGAGGAGUUUAAAACCAACAUAAAGGAUAAGUUUGAGAUGAAUGAACUUGGUUUACUGUCAUACUUCUUAGGCAUGGAAGUAACUCAGUCGGAACAAGGUUAUUUCCUAUGUCAAAAGAGGUUUACAAUGAAGCUACUAAACAAAUUUGCAAUGGAAAAUUGCAAACCAGUCAGUACACCUAUGGUAUUGGGACAAAAGCUAAUGAAGGAGGAUGGAGCUUUCAAAAUUGAUGGAAAAGCCUAAGAAAUUUAGUUGGCAGCUUGUUGUAUUUAAUUGCUACACGUCCAAACAUUGUUUUUGCUGUCAAUUACCUCUCUAGGUUCAUGUAAAGUCCAAGUCAAAUCCAUUUUGUUGCAGCCAAGAGAGUUCUGAGAUAUUUGAAAGGGACCUUAGAGUUUGGAAUGCAUUUUGUGAAAUCAAGUUAUGUUAAACUUGUUGGUUAUUCUGAUAGUGAUUGGGCUGGAAGUGAUGAAGAUAUGAUGAGCACCUCAGGUUAUUGCUUUGCUAUUGGAGGAAGCAUUUUCUGUUGGAACUCAAAGAAGCAAUCAGUAGUUGCACAUUCCACUGCAGAAGCAGAAUACAUAGCAACAUAUGUGGCUGCAAAGCAAUUGAUAUGGCUAAGGAAAAUGCUGAAUGAUCUAGACUUUGAUCAACGAAGUCCCACAAAAUUGUUCUGUGACAAUACAUCAGCAAUAACUAUUUCAAAGAAUUCUGUUUUUCAUGACAAGACCAAACAUAUGAAAAUCAAAUUUCAUACUAUUAGGCAAUUCCAGCAAAAAAGGGAACUAGAGAUGAUAUACUACACUUCAAAAGAGCAAUUAGCAGACCUGUUCACCAAGCCUUUAGCUAAAGAUAGAUUUGAAGAUCUAAAUGAGAGGAUAGGAAUGUGCAGCUUUGGAACCAAGGAGGAGUGUUGAAGUUAUGGCACCAAAGCUGAAAUUAAUGUCUCAACCAUAUGUUAUCUUUCAUUAAUGUCUAUAUUAUCUUUCAUUAAUGUCUAUCUAUUAGUAACAUCAUUAUCUUAAUGUUAUUUAGUGAGUUUUUACUUCUUUAGAUAUGAAACUUAUUUAGGAUAAGUUACAUGACUCUUUAAAUGAAAGAGUUUAUGUUAUUUAUGUUUCUUAAUUUUGUUGUGAUUGAUUUCAUCUAUAAAUAAGAGUUAAGGGAUGGCAGUAACCUAUAGAAAAACAUUCUGCUCUUUGUUCUUAGUUACAAGUUCUUUAUUCUUUGUUUUUCUAAUUAUCAUUAACAUUCAGUUCUUUAUAUACCUAUUAUCAACAGUUGCAAGAUGUUUAGCUCCAGAUGAAUCGAUACAAUCAGAAAAGGAAGCACUGAUCAUCAGAGAGGUUUAAGAAAUUUGUUGAGGGAAAUCGGGAAAUCAAUGGUAUAAUGAAAUGAGAUUUGGAAGAGAAUGUUACGGUAGCAAAGAUUAUUGUAUUGUUUGAGAAGAAGGAAGUUGCUAGGAAGAAAGCCACAAACUUUACCUACCAAGGACUAUAUUACAAGAUACAAGUUGCUCGACACCUCUAAUUUGCUUUUCUUUUGUCUAGCGCUGCAUAUAAUUAAAAUCUUCAACAAAAGAAUCAGAAGCUAAUUGCUGACUGAGUUAACGUGUAGACCCACCCCAUUCUUGAAACUUUGAAAAAGCAGACCUGAAAAUGUAAGAGCCUGAAUCUUAGCUUCAAGAGCUGUAAGUACUACGUUGGGAUUGUUGCAAAUUAUUGACCGUCAUUAUCUGAUUCACUCCAACUUCCAUUCCCUAAAAAUUUAACGAAGAACAUCAUUAGCCAAAAUAAAAAAUAGUGCUUAUUAAUGUAACUAUAUUAAAAAUAUUGUAAGCAUAUUAUAUAGAAAAUAUUGUAAUUAUAUUUGUGUAUUAUAACCUUUAUCAUUAUUAUUAUAUAUCAUCAUAUACAUAUACACAUAUAUAUACACACACGCACGCAUAUAAAAGUUCACUAAUCAAUAGGUUAAACAUCCUAAUUAUUUUCAAUUUGAUAUCAAAGUUUUCUACCAUGAACUCUUUUCUCUCUCUCUCUUGCUGCCGGGCUUCUCUCUGUUUUUCCUAAAUGGAUUCUACCGCUGCUGCUAGGGGUGAUCAUUUUCGGCAAAAUGAAAAUGCAAAAUGGGAUGAGGGGCGUACCUGCUUCUAAAAACGGCGAAGAUGGUUACAGCGUGGUGUUGCCUCUCGUCUACUAAAGACCUUUCCUUCUGCUUUUCUUUGUUCUGUGCUAACCGUCUGCUUUCGUUUUCCAACAGCUUUUGAGAUGAUGAAGGAACGAAGAAGAUGAUGAAGACGCUGGCUGGAUUUAUUUUGACUGAUUUCUAGGUUGUUCUUUUUCUGCAGGAACGAAGGCAAUGUUGUUCCUCUGCUUUUCUCUCCUUCUCUUCUCUGUGUAUAUUUUUUUGCUCUUUUUUAUUCGCUCUAUUUUUGCUCUCUUUCUGGGUCUGUUUCUUGUCAGCUCUCCCCUGUUUCAUUCUUCCCCUCUUUCCUCUGUUUCGGUUCAUCCUUUUAUAGAGCUCUAGAUGCUUGCCCCCAACUAGUCUUGCCUUUGCAUGCUGUUAAACAAUCCACGAACGAGAUCGUGGGCAAGAGACGUGGUCCACGAUUCAGACCAAAAUCACUGCACCCUUUCCAACUCCCUUGUUGAAUCAGGAUGAAGAAGACGAAUACGACUGUUCCACUUAGCAACGGUGUCGUUUCAGCAGAAAUGGACAUUUUUAUUUUCACCCCUGAACUUUUGGAAAUUUAACAAUUGGGUCCCUGGUAUCAUUAAUCAAACAAUUCCAAGUUCAAUUAACUUUUAAAAUUUAACAAUUAGAUCUUCAAUUUCAUUAAUCAAACAAUUUUCAGUUCAAUUAAGUUUCUAAACUUUUAAUUCAUAUUAUCUUGGCUUAAAUUUCAAUUUAUUUUUAUUUUUAUUAUUUCACAUAUUUAUUUUUUAAUAAAAUAGAAGGAGUUAAAAAUUGGAUUAGGACACCACCACUGACACAAAAAUCUAUACUUUUUAAAAUAAAAAAAAUGAAUUCCUGAACCUAGUAGAAGAACUGUGGCAAAAAAAGCUUAAGGAUUCCAACCCCAGCACAUGAAUGAGGAGAGACUAGUGAUGGGAAUAUCCUUGUUGAUUUAAAGGACUAUUUUCAUCAUUCAUGUCGAAAAUAAUUAUGUUUUGCACAUGAUUUUUAGAUUACCAAUACUCAAACUCUACAAAGGGACGAAGGACAUCCUUUGCAUUAGGAUGCUCCCACUCUACUACUGACUCCCACCAUUCUUUUGGAUAUACUAUGAUUUCUUCAAGAGAAGGGGGAGGAGAUGGCUGGCCAUUUUCAAGCAACGGAAGACAAAUUGCCAUCCUCUUCAGCUUCUCACAAUGCAUUACACUAAUAGUUUCAAGAGAAUUGCAAGUCAGUUUUGCACUGCAAAUGCUUUUCAGUUCUGGUAAACCAAACAAUUCCAAACUUCUUAACUUUGGGAGAAUGAAUCCCGUGAUGGAAUUGGAGGUGCUGCUUUCUUCAUCUGUUGUUCCUACUAUCUCCUCCAUUUUCUCACAAUCACGAACAUAAAUGUCUUCCAGGUUUACGAAGUUUGGCAGCAACACAAGUGGGAACAACUUCUUCAUAUUGUUACAUCCACCACAAUAAAACUCUUUAAGACCAGAAAACGUACCAUUAUAUGAUGGCAAUCGUGGUGGAGUAUAGCAGAACCAAGAAGAUGAAACCAAGCUCUCCAUGUUAUUGCAAUCCCGAAUCAUGAAUGCCUCCAGUUCAGUUGCAUUCUCUAAUGACAAAACAUCAUAUAAACUUCUUGCAUCGAUGCGUUCACAAACCAGUCUUUGAAUACCAUUAAAGAACUUGACCUUAAAAUCUCCAUCUCCGUUGAUACUCAAAUUACCCAACCCAACUGUUUUGGUAAUAUCAUCAAUGUUUGCAUCCAUGUUUGCCCAAUAAAAAUCAUCCACCAUUCCUACUAAAAUUUUAUAUGUGCUUAAUGAUUGAAUCCCAUCCCGAGAUCUGAGAUACUCCACGAAGUCAGAGAAACCUUCGAAAUGGCAUUCCAAAGUUUCCAAAUUUCUCAAGGAUCCUACUUCCUUUCCUUUAACUGUUAUCGGAGCAUAACAGUUCCCCAUAAACUCUUCUAGUACAAAGACUUGCAGGUGAGAGAGGUUUGGUAAUAUCCCACUAGGAAACUCCUUUUCACCACAUCCAUUCAUUCUAAGAUGCCUCAGGUUGGUUAGGCAUUCCAUUCCUUGCGGCAUCUUUUCAAGUGUAGUGUCAAAGAGAUCCAACCUCUUCAGUGCCCUGAGCUUCUUUAAUGAUGGAACAUGUCUUAAGUUGUAACAAUAACUGAGCAAUAAUGCAGUGAGACUCACCAAAUCAGAGACAGAGUCUGGCAAAUUUUCAAUACCUGUCCCAGACAGAUUGAGGACCUUGAGCCCAUGCAAUUGCUUGAAAAAUGAAUCACCAAUAAAUCUCAAACCGCCAUUAGCACAUAGAAAUAGAGUUGAUAGAUAGGGACACCUUGGUGAAUAGCUGGAAGGAAUUUCUUUGAUCUUGUUUCGUAUUAGUGAGACUCGUGUGAGAUUCUCCGUCCACUCCUCUGCAUCUGGCAACUCUUUUAAUUGCGCACCUGCUUUAACCAUGACUUGAGAGUUGUCUUGUAGUAUAUGGAUGGCCAUGUCCCUAAUCAAGUCAUGCAUCUUGACACCAUACUCCAUUUUAGCACUUUCCAAUAAGCAGACAUAUUCAAGUCUAUUAAGCAUCGUGUGGCCCUCGUCAAAUGCAUCUCCCCUGCUCCUCUUUCCUUUAAUUAUUCCCUCAUCUAUCAAAUAACCUAUCAACUCCUCCCUUUCAAUCACACCAUCUUCAGGAAAUAAUGCACAGUACAAGAGACAUUGUUGUAGUGCUAAAUCAUCUAACCGAUCAUAACUAAACCUCAAUAACUUGAAUACUUCCUUGUCUCUAAAUUCUGAUACUCUCAAUUUCUUCAAUGUAGUUCUCCACUCAUGUAGGUCAUUCACUCCCCUCAAGCUUCCUGCCACUGUUAUAAUUCCCAAUGGUAAACCAGCACAUUCCCUUGCAACAGCUUUUGCAAUUCCUUCCACUUCUGGUGAAAGUGCUACAUCACCUCCAAAUUUCUCCAUGAACAAAGUCCAAGCUUCUUCAUUAGAAAGUGGCUUCACUUUGAUUUUGUGUUUGUGCUGGCAAGCCAUCCGAUGACAAACCGUUUCUGAUCGAGUUGUCAUAAUCAGUUUGCAUCCUUCCAAUUUUUCAGGAAUUCCCACUUUAUGUAGCUCAAAAUUGUUCCACAAAUCAUCUAAAAUGAGAAUCCAUUUUUGUUUCUUCCUUAAUUCUUCUGACAAUUUAGCAGCUCUAUGCAAAUCAUCAUCUUCACUUGGAAGGUCUAAAUUAAGACGUUUAGCAAUAAGAUUCUGCAAUCUAUUAAUGCUAAAAUCUUGAGACACAGUCACCCACCAAAUAUGAUCACAAAAAUCUAGUCUUUGUAGAAGCUUAUUAUAAAUAUGUUGCAGUAUUGUUGUUUUACCAACUCCCCCCAUCCCAUAAAUGCCAAUAAUUGGGACUUCACCGUCCAUUAACAAAGACCAUAGCACCUUCGUAUUUUCUUUAAAUGCUUGGCCCACUGGCUUUAUAGAGCUAGUAGGUAAUGGAACUCCUCUAGUCUUGUUGCAUUUCAGACUUUCAGAAGAUCUAGCUCCUGCGCCAGCGUGCACUAAUGAUCUUCCACUACUCUCCACAUCCUCCUCCUCCACUGGUUCUGUCCUCACUCCAAUGAUUUCCUGCUCAUCAUGCAUAGUUACGUCAUUGUUUACUGAUGGAGCAGAAGGUUGAUCAUAACAUCUUCCAAUGUGAAGACAAAAUUGGGAUGAAUCUCCUCGCGGCUCCAGAAGCUGCACUUGCUCUGUUCUUGGUAUACUCUCAAAUGCAUCAUGCUGAAAAGAUCCUUCACCAGUGUUUUCCAUGCCAUUUUCUACUUGUAGAUGCGACUGAAUUCUCUCUUCUCCGGGACCUUGUUCCAUGCCCUGAACUCCCACUUGUAUCCUUCCAGCACCCCCUGCCAAAUUGCCAAGUACUGCAUUGCUUUGUUCCAACGCUCGAUCCACUGGUUCUGUCCUCCGUCUGCUCUCGAGUGCCCCUUCGGAAACUCUAUCUUCUUGUGCUCUCAUUCCGUUCAUGCUUACUUCGUCGUUUCCUGCUAUUGCAUGAGAAGAAAUCCUCUCUUCCCCUACCCCGGGUUCUACAACCUGAACUUCUCUUUGUACCCUUCCAAUACCUCCUACCAUGUUAAUCUCAAUGUUUUGUUCUUGUGGACAAGUUGAAAUUCCACAAUCAUUAACAUUGACUGAACUUGCUGUGAUUUUUUGCCUUUUGUUGCCACCACACAUAGCUUGAAAGGCUGCUUCUUGAACUUCUUUAGUCACCCCACGACAAAUGGCAACA
Molecule: long non-coding RNA, 15016 nt
Filed under: Populus trichocarpa (black cottonwood)
Lineage: Eukaryota; Viridiplantae; Streptophyta; Magnoliopsida; Malpighiales; Salicaceae
Description: long non-coding RNA (PTRI_LNC004419)
Source: RNAcentral